UGGCUUAAUCUGAUAUAGAAGGCCUGGAGGGCCAUGGAGAAAUUCCCAAACACCUCCUAACAUUCCUCGAAUUUUUUUCCUUCUCAUGGGAAACGAUUGAGGCAGACAAUUGUGACUGACCCUUGUGCUGAAGUCACACCACAUCUGUGUGCACCCUUCCAGAAGCUGUACUUCUUCAACAGGUGGAACAUGAAAGAGGAAGAGCCAGCAAAGUUGCCUGCAAGAGAAAGCACGUGGCCUGAGAGGUGAACCAGGGACAGCCUCUGAAGAGCCAAGGAUUUAUCUGAACAGCCAAAUGUCCACUGACAGACAGGUCUGUGUGUGCUAGAGAAACUUGUUCCACAGCUCAGAUGAAAAACGUAUUGCGGAAUUCACCCACAAGGGGAAGUGAGUUAAUGACUGGGGCGUUUCACCUUCUGCCUAGAUGCGUCAUAAAAUCAACUUAUAAAGCCUGGCUCAGGAAAUACA
Molecule: long non-coding RNA, 468 nt
Organism: Symphalangus syndactylus (siamang)
Lineage: Eukaryota; Metazoa; Chordata; Mammalia; Primates; Hylobatidae
Source: RefSeq, a predicted model, not a curated record